ACUAUUUUGGCAGAUUAGUGCAAUAAAAUUAGAAUUUAUUAAUGUAAUAUAAUUAUUAUUACAAAUAGU
Molecule: transfer RNA, 69 nt
Filed under: Tephritis conura
Lineage: Eukaryota; Metazoa; Arthropoda; Insecta; Diptera; Tephritidae
Description: tRNA-Leu
Source: RNAcentral